CAAACCAGGCGGGAAUCGAACCCGCAACUCUCGCACUCUGAGAAGCCAUACUACUAACACCACCUGGGCACUGCUUC
Molecule: non-coding RNA, 77 nt
Organism: Ostertagia ostertagi
Lineage: Eukaryota; Metazoa; Nematoda; Chromadorea; Rhabditida; Trichostrongylidae
Source: the annotation of a GenBank genome assembly